ACGGAGGGUGCAAGCGUUAUUCGGAAUUACUGGGCGUAAAGCGCGUGUAGGCGGUCCUGCAAGUCUAAAAUGAAAGCCCCGGGCUUAACCCGGGAAGUGCACUGGAAACUGUGGGACUUGAGUACUGGAGAGGAUGGGGGAAUUCCCGGUGUAGGGGUGAAAUCCGUAGAGAUCGGGAGGAAUAUCAGUGGCGAAGGCGACCACCUGGACGGUAACUGACGCUGAGAUGCGAAAGCGUGGGGAGCAAACAG
RNAcentral lists this ribosomal RNA (251 nucleotides) under uncultured prokaryote. Its description in RNAcentral is "partial 16S rRNA". It matches the Rfam family "Bacterial small subunit ribosomal RNA", at positions 525 to 775 of the family's 1533-position model. The record is from RNAcentral.